RNAcentral lists this ribosomal RNA (137 nucleotides) under uncultured eukaryote. RNAcentral's name for it is "partial 18S ribosomal RNA". It matches the Rfam family "Eukaryotic small subunit ribosomal RNA", at positions 1299 to 1458 of the family's 1831-position model. The record is from RNAcentral.
UGGUGGGGUGGCUUGUCUGCUUAAUUGCGAUAACGAACGAGACCUUAACCUGCUAAAUAGCCCGCAUUGCUCCGGCAGUGCGCUGGCUUCUUAGAGGGACUUUCGGCUCAAGCCGAAGGAAGUUUGAGGCAAUAACA